RNAcentral lists this ribosomal RNA (404 nucleotides) under uncultured bacterium. RNAcentral describes it as "bacterial SSU rRNA". It matches the Rfam family "Bacterial small subunit ribosomal RNA", at positions 355 to 775 of the family's 1533-position model. The record is from RNAcentral.
CUGGGAAUCUUGCGCAAUGGGCGAAAGCCUGACGCAGCGACGCCGCGUGGGGGAUGAAUGCCCUCGGGUUGUAAACCCCUUUCAGCAGGGACGAAACUGACGGUACCUGCAGAAGAAGCCCCGGCCAACUACGUGCCAGCAGCCGCGGUAAGACGUAGGGGGCGAGCGUUGUCCGGAUUUAUUGGGCGUAAAGGGUUCCUAGGCGGCUGAGAAAGUCGGAUGUGAAAGCCCCAGGCUCAACCUGGGAAUGUCAUCCGAAACUGCUCUAGCUAGAGUCCGGUAGGGGCGUGUGGAAUCUCCGGUGUAGCGGUGAAAUGCUUAGAUAUCGGAGGGAACACCAGUGGCGAAGGCGGCACGCUGGGCCGGAACUGACGCUGAAGAACGAAAGCGUGGGUAGCAAACAG